This is a long non-coding RNA of Monopterus albus (swamp eel), 389 nucleotides long. RefSeq lists it as uncharacterized. The transcript has 3 exons. The record is from RefSeq and is a predicted model, not a curated record. NCBI's taxonomy places the organism in Eukaryota, Metazoa, Chordata, Actinopteri, Synbranchiformes, Synbranchidae.
CAGAUGUUGGCAGUGACAUGCAGUUGACUUAGCCACCUGGAACCCUUAGUUUGGAUGCAGAUGGAUGAAGUGACUGACCGACUGUUUCCUCUGUUGUCAUCUCCAGACGGCCUGCAGGUGUCGGGAGGGCUUCCGACCAUUAGGGAGGUUCUGUUAUCCCAGCAACCCCUGCAGAAAUAACAACGGUGGAUGCAGUAGGCACGCUCGCUGUGAGUACAUAGGCGAUGGUCAGAGGAACUGCACCUGCUACAGAGACUAUGUGGGCGAUGGCAUCGACUGCCGGGGAAACACCAACAAUGAGAUCUCACGACUUCCGGAGAAUGCCUUCUUCCAUCAAAUGCUAUCUGUGAGUUGCUGUCAGCCACAUUGAAAUCCACUCAGUAAAUAAA